RNAcentral lists this ribosomal RNA (548 nucleotides) under Matsucoccus matsumurae. Its description in RNAcentral is "SSU rRNA". It matches the Rfam family "Eukaryotic small subunit ribosomal RNA", at positions 46 to 538 of the family's 1831-position model. The record is from RNAcentral. Lineage: Eukaryota; Metazoa; Arthropoda; Insecta; Hemiptera; Margarodidae.
AAGCCAUGCAUGUCUAAGUGCAAGCCGGCUAGUACGGUGAAACCGCGAAAGGCUCAUUAAAUCAGUUAUGGUUCCUUAGAUCCUACCCACGAUACUUGGAUAUCUGUGGUAAUUCUAGAGCUAAUACAUGCCGACGGAGCCCCGAACGGUCGCGCGAGUUCGCUCUGCGCGUACGGGAGGGGCGCUUUUAUUAGAUCAAAACCGGCCAGGCGACGUUUACGCGUCGUCAGUGGCCCGCGCAUAGAUUUGGCGAUUCUGAAUAACUUUGAGCUGAUCGCACGGUCCUCGUACCGGCGACGUAUCUUUCAAAUGUCUGCCUUAUCAACUGUCGACGGUAGGUUCGACGCCUACCGUGGUGGUAACGGGUAACGGGGAAUCAGGGUUCGAUUCCGGAGAGGGAGCCUGAGAAACGGCUACCACAUCCAAGGAAGGCAGCAGGCGCGCAAAUUACCCACUCCCGGCACGGGGAGGUAGUGACGAAAAAUAACGAUACGGGACUCUUAUGAGGCCCCGUAAUCGGAAUGAGUACACUUUAAAACCUUGGUCAC